Molecule: ribosomal RNA, 257 nt
Filed under: uncultured prokaryote
Description: partial 16S ribosomal RNA
Rfam family: Bacterial small subunit ribosomal RNA
Source: RNAcentral
UAAUACGUAGGUGACGAGCGUUAUCCGGAAUUACUGGGCGUAAAGCGCACGCAAGCGGUCUGACAAGUCUGGCGUGAAAUCCUCUGGCUUAACCAGGGGCGGUCGCUGGAAACUGUUGGGCUUGAGGCGAUGAGAGGGGUGCAGAAUUCCCGGUGUAGUGGUGGAAUGCGUAGAGAUCGGGAGGAAUACCAGUGGCGAAAGCGGCACCCUGGCGUCGUACUGACGCACAUGUGCGAAAGCGUGGGGAGCGAACGGGA